RNAcentral lists this ribosomal RNA (195 nucleotides) under uncultured bacterium. RNAcentral's name for it is "partial 16S rRNA". It matches the Rfam family "Bacterial small subunit ribosomal RNA", at positions 338 to 524 of the family's 1533-position model. The record is from RNAcentral.
CCUACGGGAGGCAGCAGUGGGGAAUAUUGGACAAUGGGCGAAAGCCUGAUCCAGCAAUGCCGCGUGUGUGAAGAAGGCCUGCGGGUUGUAAAGCACUUUUCUGAAGGAAGAAACGGCCUGGGUUAAUACCCCAUGGCAAUUGACGGUACUUCAGGAAUAAGCACCGGCUAACUCCGUGCCAGCAGCCGCGGUAAU